This 252-nucleotide ribosomal RNA is filed under the name uncultured bacterium. RNAcentral's name for it is "partial 16S ribosomal RNA". It matches the Rfam family "Bacterial small subunit ribosomal RNA", at positions 524 to 776 of the family's 1533-position model. The record is from RNAcentral.
UACGUAGGGGGCAAGCGUUGUCCGGAAUUAUUGGGCGUAAAGCGCGCGCAGGCGGUUCUUUAAGUCUGGUGUUUAAACCUGGGGCUCAACUUCAGGUCGCACUGGAAACUGGGGGACUUGAGUACAGAAGAGGAGAGUGGAAUUCCACGUGUAGCGGUGAAAUGCGUAGAUAUGUGGAGGAACACCAGUGGCGAAGGCGGCUUCCUGGACCGACACUGACGCUGAGGUGCGAAAGCGUGGGGAGCAAACAGG